CCUACGGGAGGCAGCAGUGAGGAAUAUUGGUCAAUGGCCGAGAGUCUGAACCAGCCAAGUCGCGUGAAGGAAGACUGCCCUAUGGGUUGUAAACUUCUUUUGUCGGGGAGUAAAGCGAGGCACGUGUGCCUUUUUGAGAGUACCCUAUGAAAAAGCAUCGGCUAACUCCGUGCCAGCAGCCGCGGUAAUACGGAGGAUGCGAGCGUUAUCCGGAUUUAUUGGGUUUAAAGGGUGCGUAGGUGGAGGUUCAAGUCGGUGGGCAAAUUGCGGGGCUCAACCCCGAACUGCCGUUGAUACUGGAAGCCUUGAGUGCAGGAGAGGUAGGCGGAAUGCGUGGUGUAGCGGUGAAAUGCAUAGAGAUCAUAAAGAACUCCGAUUGCGAAGGCAGCUUACCAAACUACGACUGACGUUGAGGCACGAAAGUGUGGGGAGCAAACAGGAUUAGAUACCCGAGUAGUC
RNAcentral lists this ribosomal RNA (459 nucleotides) under uncultured bacterium. Its description in RNAcentral is "partial 16S ribosomal RNA". It matches the Rfam family "Bacterial small subunit ribosomal RNA", at positions 338 to 795 of the family's 1533-position model. The record is from RNAcentral.